GACGUAGGGCGCGAGCGUUGUCCGGAUUUAUUGGGCGUAAAGAGCUCGUAGGCGGCUUGUUGCGUCGUCCGUGAAAACCUGCAGCUCAACUGCAGGCUUGCGGUCGAUACGGGCAGGCUGGAGUUCGGUAGGGGAGAUCGGAAUUCCUGGUGUAGCGGUGAAAUGCGCAGAUAUCAGGAGGAACACCGGUGGCGAAGGCGGAUCUCUGGGCCAUUACUGACGCUGAGGAGCGAAAGCGUGGGGAGCGAACAGG
This 253-nucleotide ribosomal RNA is filed under the name uncultured bacterium. RNAcentral describes it as "partial 16S ribosomal RNA". It matches the Rfam family "Bacterial small subunit ribosomal RNA", at positions 524 to 776 of the family's 1533-position model. The record is from RNAcentral.